RNAcentral lists this ribosomal RNA (588 nucleotides) under Triticum aestivum (bread wheat). Its description in RNAcentral is "partial small subunit ribosomal RNA". Lineage: Eukaryota; Viridiplantae; Streptophyta; Magnoliopsida; Poales; Poaceae. The record is from RNAcentral.
AUGACUCGGGCAUCAACUCUUGAUUUUCGGCGGAAGACGCAGGGUCAGAACAACUGGUCUGGGCCGUCGCGCCCAGUAAAUGCCAUCAAAAAUAAAUUCCCUACCUACAAGAAUGCAGAUCUGCUUGAUCGGCGUCAGCGUCUUUCAGUCCGCGAGCUCGCAAUGAAAUUUGAGAAGGGCCUCAGUACUGCCACAUUAUUAUCUAAUGAGGUUAAAUGUAAACAAGUGGCUUUAUUGGAGCGAGACAUCCUUCCGAAGAAUCUAAAGAGUGUAUUGGAGUCACUGAGAGGUCAAGUAGCUGGCAAAUAUAAGGAUGAAAUUGAGGAAUCGGUAUCUAUGGUGGAUAUUUUAGCAGUUCAGCUGUCCAAAACAGAAAAUGAGUUGCUUCAGCAGAAAACCGAGGUCACGAGAAUAGCGACUUCACUAAAACUGGCUUCUGAAGAUGCUAGGAGAAUUGUUGACGAAGAACGAACUAAUGCAUGCAUGGAGAUUGAAAAUGCUAGAGCUGUUGUACAAAGAGUUCAAAAAGUACUUAAAGAGAAAGAGAACAGUUCACAAAGAAUUAGAAAGCAGGUAAAUUGUAUAUAA